RNAcentral lists this small nucleolar RNA (127 nucleotides) under Leersia perrieri. RNAcentral's name for it is "Small nucleolar RNA Z206". It matches the Rfam family "Small nucleolar RNA Z206". From Rfam's summary of the family: Z206 is a member of the C/D class of snoRNA which contain the C (UGAUGA) and D (CUGA) box motifs. Most of the members of the box C/D family function in directing site-specific 2'-O-methylation of substrate RNAs. Lineage: Eukaryota; Viridiplantae; Streptophyta; Magnoliopsida; Poales; Poaceae. The record is from Rfam by way of RNAcentral.
AUAGGCGGGAUGAGGUCAAGGUGAGCGUGACGGUGCGCCGAUCAACGGCACUGCUGGGGCGCACCGGUACAGUGCAAGAAGGUGGGCCCCAGAUGGUCGAUGGGGUGAUGUGGUUCCGACCGGCGGC